RNAcentral lists this ribosomal RNA (362 nucleotides) under uncultured soil bacterium. Its description in RNAcentral is "bacterial SSU rRNA". It matches the Rfam family "Bacterial small subunit ribosomal RNA", at positions 26 to 373 of the family's 1533-position model. The record is from RNAcentral.
AGGAUGAACGCUGGCGGCGUGCUUAACACAUGCAAGUCGAACGAUGAAGGCUGGAGCUUGCUCUGGCUGGAUUAGUGGCGAACGGGUGAGUAACACGUGAGUAACCUGCCCCAGACUCUGGGAUAAGCGCUGGAAACGGCGUCUAAUACCGGAUACGAGCUUCCACCGCAUGGUGAGGAGCUAGGAAAGAAUUUCGGUCUGGGAUGGACUCGCGGCCUAUCAGCUUGUUGGUGAGGUAAUGGCUCACCAAGGCGACGACGGGUAGCCGGCCUGGAGACGGGUCGACCGGCCACGACCGUGGGACUGAGACCACGGCCCAGGACUCCGUACGGGAGGCAGCGAGUAGGGAAUAUGCACGAAGU